Molecule: long non-coding RNA, 1182 nt
Filed under: Mytilus galloprovincialis (Mediterranean mussel)
Lineage: Eukaryota; Metazoa; Mollusca; Bivalvia; Mytilida; Mytilidae
Source: RNAcentral
AAUUUUUAUUUUUCAGGGUGUGCAAAAAUAGUAAAUGUUCCCUGUAAGUAUGUGCUCAUUUCACUCACAAAAGGAAUACAAGUUCAAUGCAAAAAAAAUAUACUUUCAGUCCACUCACCACUAUACACAAAAAAUGCAAAUGACAUUGCCGACACAAACAUAUAGUAUGUUUUAGUUGUUUCAAUUGUUGCAAUAGAUCCAACUGAAGAACAACAUUAGGUGGCGUUGUGAUGAUUUUUGGUUUACGUUUCUCUUUUCCUAUCACUACAAACCACUGACAGUCUGAAAUUUGUAUUUGACCAUUAUAAAUUGGUUUAACAUUUUCAAAAAUAAAUUAAUGAUUCGGAUCGAUAUUUACCCUAUUUGACAUUGCUGACUUAUACUCGCAUUAAAAUUAUAUAACAAUAUUGCACUAUACAGUCCCAACUUUUCGAUGACCUUUAUUCAAUCGAUACUCAGACUGCUUUAAAUGUCUGAUCCAUAACCGACAUGGGUUUUCCUUAAAUGUGUUUAGUUAGUUUUGAAAUAUAUCAUUUAUGUUUUGAAAAUAAGUUCCGGUAAAUAAAUUUGGAAGGGAAGCUAGAUAUUAUAAUUAUCCCUACAUCUGAAAAACAAAAUGAGAUGGAUAUCAACUGUUUUUUAGUUUCAACUAACAACUUUAGUCUAAAUAAAGUUUUUAAUGGCCUCAUACAAUCCGCUCUUAAAAGAGGCAUCGCAAUACUUUUCAAUGCAGGCCAACUAACCUGCUUUUCCACGCUGUGGACUUCAAGAACGGACAGUCAUUGAAGACCAAAAGCGUUGCCAAACAUAAUCAUAGAUUAAAUAAAUACAAUCUCUGACACAACUUAUUGGAUAUAUGUCAUUUUCAUAUAACCUAAAUCGAAUAUAAGUAACCAAUCGAUUUCCAUUGGUGAGGUUAGUUUCUAUUUUGAAAUAUUCCGUCUUAUGCAUGUUAUGUAUGAUAUAUUUAAAAUUUAUUAUCAUAUUUUAUUAUAGAUAUAGACAGACAUGUUGGCAUGUUUAUAAAGGAAACGCAUAGAACUAUUCCACAACCCAAUGCGUCUUGUGUACAUAUGAUCCAAUGUUGGAAUUUGUGUAUGUUCAAUCAAAGUAUAUGGCUUCUAGUGUGGAUUCCGUCUAUCUCCUUCACACUUGAAUAGACAAAAUAAAAUAUUAUCAACU